GCCAGUGUGGUGCAGUGGUUUGAGUAUUGGACUACAACCCUGGAGACCAGGGUUUGAAUCCUUGCUCAGACA
Non-coding RNA from Phrynosoma platyrhinos (Desert horned lizard), 72 nucleotides. The record is from the annotation of a GenBank genome assembly. Lineage: Eukaryota; Metazoa; Chordata; Lepidosauria; Squamata; Phrynosomatidae.